RNAcentral lists this long non-coding RNA (342 nucleotides) under Homo sapiens (human). RNAcentral describes it as "HSALNT0232069". Lineage: Eukaryota; Metazoa; Chordata; Mammalia; Primates; Hominidae. The record is from RNAcentral.
AUUGCCAACACAGCUGCUAAAAAAGGCUGCCAAAGAGGAAGAAAAUGAAAGAGGUUGAGACUGCAGUCAGAGAAAAUAUUUUACACAACUUGGCACCAUCUGCCAUUCUCUUAAUCUUUGUUCAGCAAGGAGUGGAUUGAAUGUGGAUGUCGACAAUGACUCUGACAGCUAACUUUUUUGUUGAUAUAAUCAUUAAAACUUGCUGACCCUGCCUUACUAAAAACGCACAGAAGAGGGCUUCCAAGUUUUCCUCAUUUCCUUCUGCUGUCCUGAGCUGCUGGUAUCUCUAGCUUGUUUACAUUGGGAUUCUGUAUUCUUGUCAAGACUCAUAAGAAGGAAAGG